UGGGGAAUUUUGGACAAUGGGCGAAAGCCUGAUCCAGCAAUGCCGCGUGUGUGAAGAAGGCCUUCGGGUUGUAAAGCACUUUUGUCCGGAAAGAAAUCCUUGGCUCUAAUACAGUCGGGGGAUGACGGUACCGGAAGAAUAAGCACCGGCUAACUACGUGCCAGCAGCCGCGGUAAUACGUAGGGUGCAAGCGUUAAUCGGAAUUACUGGGCGUAAAGCGUGCGCAGGCGGUUUGCUAAGACCGAUGUGAAAUCCCCGGGCUCAACCUGGGAACUGCAUUGGUGACUGGCAGGCUAGAGUAUGGCAGAGGGGGGUAGAAUUCCACGUGUAGCAGUGAAAUGCGUAGAGAUGUGGAGGAAUACCGAUGGCGAAGGCAGCCCCCUGGGCCAAAUACUGACGCUCAUGCACGAAAAGCGUGGGGAGCAAAACAGGAUUAGAUACCCUGGUAGUCCACGCCCUAAACGAUGUCAACUAGUUGUUGGGGAUUCAUUUCCUUAGUAACGUGCUAACGCGUGAAGUUGACCGCCUGGGGAGUACGGUCGCAAGAUUAAAACUUAAAUGAAUUGACGGGGUCAUAGCUGUUUCCU
RNAcentral lists this ribosomal RNA (587 nucleotides) under uncultured bacterium. RNAcentral's name for it is "partial 16S ribosomal RNA". It matches the Rfam family "Bacterial small subunit ribosomal RNA", at positions 355 to 1375 of the family's 1533-position model. The record is from RNAcentral.